AAAUUGAAGAGUUUGAUCAUGGCUCAGAUUGAACGCUGGCGGCAGGCCUAACACAUGCAAGUCGAACGGUAACAGGAAGCAGCUUGCUGCUUCGCUGACGAGUGGCGGACGGGUGAGUAAUGUCUGGGAAACUGCCUGAUGGAGGGGGAUAACUACUGGAAACGGUGGCUAAUACCGCAUAACGUCGCAAGACCAAAGAGGGGGACCUUCGGGCCUCUUGCCAUCAGAUGUGCCCAGAUGGGAUUAGCUUGUUGGUGAGGUAACGGCUCACCAAGGCGACGAUCCCUAGCUGGUCUGAGAGGAUGACCAGCCACACUGGAACUGAGACACGGUCCAGACUCCUACGGGAGGCAGCAGUGGGGAAUAUUGCACAAUGGGCGCAAGCCUGAUGCAGCCAUGCCGCGUGUAUGAAGAAGGCCUUCGGGUUGUAAAGUACUUUCAGCGGGGAGGAAGGUGUUGUGGUUAAUAACCGCAGCAAUUGACGUUACCC
This 490-nucleotide ribosomal RNA is filed under the name Salmonella enterica subsp. enterica serovar Heidelberg. RNAcentral's name for it is "bacterial SSU rRNA". It matches the Rfam family "Bacterial small subunit ribosomal RNA", at positions 1 to 480 of the family's 1533-position model. The record is from RNAcentral. RNAcentral also lists the same sequence under 14 other names. Lineage: Bacteria; Pseudomonadati; Pseudomonadota; Gammaproteobacteria; Enterobacterales; Enterobacteriaceae.